GGUACACAAUUGUCCAGCAUCUCCACACUGUCCCAUGGAAGCGUUCAACUGUCCAUCUCCCAAACACGGGAGAGAAAGAGGAAGAACCCGCCUACCAACUCGCGAUCCCUGGCCCUGAAUGCCAGCAUUUCAAAAUUCCUGGCCUUUGAAAUGCUGUCAUUCCGUCUAGUGGAGACGGACAAUUUUAAAAUCCUGAUGACAUUAUUGGACUGCAAAAAUGCACCGCAGGCCGCAAAUGUUUCUUUUUUUAUAUGUACCAAUAUUUUGGGGGCUACCCCAAUUAUAUAAAAUAAACAGUGUUGGCUACUUCCUCC
This is a non-coding RNA of Pelobates cultripes (western spadefoot toad), 314 nucleotides long. The record is from the annotation of a GenBank genome assembly. NCBI's taxonomy places the organism in Eukaryota, Metazoa, Chordata, Amphibia, Anura, Pelobatidae.